AUACGAAGGGUGCAAGCGUUACUCGGAAUUACUGGGCGUACAGCGUGCGUAGGUGGUUGUUUAAGUCUGUCGUGAAAGCCCUGGGCUCAACCUGGGAAUGGCGAUGGAAACUGGGCGACUAGAGUGUGGCAGAGGGUAGUGGAAUUCCUGGUGUAGCAGUGAAAUGCGUAGAGAUCAGGAGGAACAUCCGUGGCGAAGGCGACUGCCUGGGCCAACACUGACACUGAGGCACGAAAGCGUGGGGAGCAAACAGGAUUAGAUACCCUGGUAGUCCACGCCCUAAACGAUGCGAACUGGAUGUUGGGUGCAAUUUGGCACGCAGUAUCGAAGCUAACGCGUUAAGUUCGCCGCCUGGGGAGUACGGCCGCAAGGCUUAAAAUCAAAUGAAUUGACGGG
RNAcentral lists this ribosomal RNA (396 nucleotides) under uncultured bacterium. RNAcentral's name for it is "partial 16S ribosomal RNA". It matches the Rfam family "Bacterial small subunit ribosomal RNA", at positions 523 to 917 of the family's 1533-position model. The record is from RNAcentral.